This 253-nucleotide ribosomal RNA is filed under the name uncultured bacterium. RNAcentral's name for it is "partial 16S ribosomal RNA". It matches the Rfam family "Bacterial small subunit ribosomal RNA", at positions 524 to 776 of the family's 1533-position model. The record is from RNAcentral.
UACGAAGGGGGCUAGCGUUGCUCGGAAUUACUGGGCGUAAAGCGCACGUAGGCGGCUUUGUAAGUUAGAGGUGAAAGCCCAGGGCUCAACCCUGGAAUUGCCUUUAAGACUGCAUCGCUUGAACAUCGGAGAGGUAAGUGGAAUUCCGAGUGUAGAGGUGAAAUUCGUAGAUAUCGGGAGGAACACCAGAGGCGAAGGCGGCGAUCUGGACUGAUAUUGACGCUGAGGUGCGAAAGCGUGGGGAGCAAACAGG